Molecule: long non-coding RNA, 1227 nt
Organism: Camelus dromedarius (Arabian camel)
Lineage: Eukaryota; Metazoa; Chordata; Mammalia; Artiodactyla; Camelidae
Exons: 2
Source: RefSeq, a predicted model, not a curated record
UUUGUGCAUUAUACAGUGUGUUUAUUUUCCCAAUCAGUGAAUUACCAUCAAGUAAGGAAUUUUAAACUGUUAAAAACAAAACCCUUUCCUUUUGGUGACACCCUUAAGACCCCAAAGGUUCAGGACAGUGGGUGUUGUGUUCCAGUUGGGCUGUUCACCAGCCAGCAAGACACAAACUCUGGGAGUCCCAGUUCCCUCAUGUGUAAAAUCAGACGCUCAUUUCUCUAACCUGCCUCACAGGGUUUGGAGAUGCAAAAGAGGAUGCUGUGCAAAUCGUAAAGCCCGGCGUGUGUAAGUCACCCAAGUAACGUGGGGGCUGGGCUGCCAGGCACGCUGGUCGCUGGUUCAGAUUUUGCAGAGACGCUUUGCUUGCUCAGAAGGUGAGCUCCUUGGACCCUGAUGGGAGGCAACCUAUGCAGAUCACAUUAAGGAAGACUUGGAAACAGAGUUUCAAGUCAGGGCAGGAGCAGGACAAAUUCAAGAAACAAACAACCACAGACAACGAGGGCCAAGUAAAACCAAGUCAGAUAUGAACCGAGCCCUGGAACCAGGUCAUUAGCCAAGGUCACGACGGGUUGAGAACUUCAGACUGCUUCUUCCCCCGCCUUGCCAGCAAUUUCUGGCUCUUCCCCCGUGGUGCGUGCAGUUGGCUGGGCCCUGAGCCACGUGAGAUUGUUUUUAAUGGCAAAAUCUUCAAAGUUGUGCUUAAAAUAUUUCCAUCAUGAAAUCCCCUGUAGAAGCCAAACUCCAGCUUCAGAAGGCGCCUCCCAGCAAUGCAGCAACGUGCAUUCAGAGACGGGAGAGGGGCUCCCAGCCCAGCAUCACCUUCCAGCCACCGCGCCUUCACCACGUGGGUGACACCCUGCAGGAGACUCAGGCCAUCACAGACCUCGGGGCUGCGCAGGGGUGGGGACACACGCCAAAUGACUUUCCCAAGCCAACAACAGUGUCGGGUGAUUCGGCAGUUAGUUGAGCAAAAAAGCCUGUUUUUCACACAUUUAAUUGAUCCUGUGAGCAAAUAAGUUGUUAGAGAUGAAAGAUGAGUAAUGUUUUCCCCUCGCCGUGGGACACCUUUGUCCUUGUUUCUUGCACUUUUCUCCUGGGUCCACUGUGAAAUAGACACGUCUGGGGAGGGACAGGCUAAUGCACGGAUAACUCGCUUUAGAAAGUUAAAAAUGAGAAAAUAAAAACUCAUGUAAAUUAAAACUCAGAAAGGAAAAAAAAAAA